GCACAAUGUGACACCUGGCCAGUGCCAAGGAGCAGAGGCAGCCCAGUGCUCUCCUCCAGGGCUCUCCAGGGAAGCAAGAGGGAGCCUUGGUCCUGUCUGAGUGGCCACAGGGCUGGCUGUCCCCUUGCAGGGGUCAGCGUGGCUGGGAGAAGGUCCUGAGAACUGCAGAUGGCUGCUGGGUGCUGCAUCCCAGAUCGUGCAGAGUAGGGCAAGGCUGGAUGGCCAUGGAAAGGCAUGGCAAGGUUUGGAAUGAGGGGUUUUUGGGGUCUUGAAGGAUUUGGGAUGUUCCUGUCCUGCUCCUGGCUGCUGUGGGGCACAAAGUGCUCUCUUGGAGCCCAGGGACAGGAGGGCUCUGCUUCCAGAAGGGGCCUGAUUCUGCUUCCAGAGGGAAUCCAGCUCUUGUCAGAGCAGGGGUGCCUGGGGGUGACAAGCAGGAUAUCCUGGCUGGGGAUGGAGCCUGUCCCAGCUGGGAGAGCUCUGUCCUCAGGGCAGGUGUGUGUGAGUGCUCCGUGGAGCACUGUGUGUGUGCACAGUGGGCACACAUGAACCUAUGGAUGUCAGCAAGUGUCCAUGUGUGCUGCACUUGUGUCUGUGCCUCUGCCUCUGCUCCUGGGUCCUGCUCUCCUCCUUUUUGGGCACAGAGUGUGAGAUUAACCUCCAGAUCCUUCCUCCCAGCAUGUGCUCCUGCUCCCUCCCUUGGAAAUGCCGUAAUUUAGACGAGAAAAUAUGGAAGCGUCUUCAGUCCCUGCUCAGUGACCUUCAAAACCAUCCAGCAAAUUGGGCUUGGACGCCGAGCCCGGCCAGAUGGCCCCUCUCAAACACGCUGGCCCUGCAGCCGGGCUUUACUCGUGGAUCCUGCCGCAGCAGCCUCGGGAAGCGGCGCUCAGGCUGUGCUCUGGGAAGGCAGCCACGCCGAGGAGGAGCCGCUGGGGCUCUGCCAGCCCGCUGGGCAGGGACAGAGCCGGCAGCCCGGCCCUUCGGGGGGAAUUCAAUUGUGAAGGCCAGAGUUAAGAGGGGGAGAUCCCAAACUGGCUGGGUGUGGGCACCUGUGCUCGACUGGGAUGGCUGUGGAGGUGGAAGUUUUCAGUUCACUCAGGCAGAUGAGCCUAACUAGGAAGCGACCACGCAGGGAUUCCAGGAUGCUUCAUUAGCAUGCAGCCUGGAGAGGAGGCUCUGCCUCUACAUGCAAAGGGAGGCUGAAGCAUUGCAGAAGCUGUGACUGAGGAAUCCAUCCCCCAAAUUCAGGGCUGACCUGAAUGCCAUCCUGCAGGGAUGUUGGGGGAUGCAGUGCCUGGAGGGGUGCUGGGGCUGAGGUUUGUCACCAAUCUCCCCAGUGGCACCAGCAGCACCCCUCCCCCAGGCACUCCUGCUCUGUCACCUCCCUCGCCUGUCCUUGGUCACCAGUGACAGGCACUGGGGAGGUGGGUGAUGCUGGUUUGCCUCCAGGUCAGCAGCACCAGGAACAUGGGGAAACAAUUCCAUACAGACCUGGGAAGUGGAGGGGAUCCUGAAGGAGCUCAGCUGCUGAUAAAUGCUUCCCAAAGGGAUUGGCAUGGCUCUGCUGGUGACCUGAGCCUCAUGCCCUCACCUGUGGGACACCAGUGUGAGGAAUCAACUCUACCCCCUGAGUCUCUUGCCCAGAGGUCCUCCCUUGGCUACUGGGGGUCUCUGCCUGGGGGACAGGGGCUGUGACAAGUGCCUGUGAGCUGCCAGGGUGAUGCUGAGCCCAGAGGAGCUGCUGCAGCCUGUUGGAGUGCAGACAGUGUGCUGGGCUGCAGGUUUCCCUGCCCUCGUGCCUGGCCAUGGUGGCUGUGCCACAAGGGGAGAUCAGAGGGUGAGUGAACUUGUUGCACGACAUGCAGCAUUUUCUGUGCAGCAAAGGUAUGUUUAAUCACAUGGAAUUGCUGCCAAGAAUUAGCAUUGAAAACUAUUAUUAUGCAUUGCUAUUAUUAAAGAACAGAUUUCCCCCUAAAUGCUGCUCUGGAGCAAAACCCAAUACCUGGAGUGAGCACCAAAGGUUGAUCAGAAAUUUUCUGCCAAAGGUCGGUCAGCAAUUUCCCACCCAACCGGUAUCACAUGAAAAAUGAAGCCAUCAGCUACAUGAGACUAUUCCUUAAGUAUCUGUUUUCAGCAAAACCCCAGCCCUUCAAAAUGUAACUCUUUGGGUUAUCAACUAAAAGAAACCAAAAACCUCUUGAAAUUUCUCCAAAUAAAAGUAUGAAAAUUUAAUCCCACUGAGACAUCCUUGGUUUGACACGAUGUGACCUUGAAGAGGGGGACAUGAAGAGGGGACAAACUCUGCUGCUGUUGGACACCUGUGCCUCAUUCAUGGACUGAGGGUUUAGCAUCAGUCCUCCUGUGAUGGUGGAGAAUCCAACCCCGAGGGCUGAAGGACUCCCUGGAGUGGUUUUCCACCAGAAAACAGGGGUUUGUUGGAAUCACAUCUUUCCCUGGGAACUUGUCGAUCUCGCUGCCAUUUUCCCGGGAAGAAGCCUCGCAGAAUCACUUUGACUUUCUUGUUUCAGCAGUGUCAAAAUGUUUAUUCCGCUCAUGU
This is a long non-coding RNA of Passer montanus (Eurasian tree sparrow), 2554 nucleotides long. RefSeq lists it as uncharacterized. The transcript is spliced from 3 exons. The record is from RefSeq and is a predicted model, not a curated record. NCBI's taxonomy places the organism in Eukaryota, Metazoa, Chordata, Aves, Passeriformes, Passeridae.